UACAGAGGUCUCAAGCGUUGUUCGGAAUCACUGGGCGUAAAGGGUGCGUAGGCGGCGAGGAAAGUCAGAUGUGAAAUCCGAGGGCUCAACCCUCGAAUAGCAUCCGAUACUUCCCCGCUCGAGAUUUGUAGAGGAGUCUGGAACUCUCGGUGUAGCAGUGAAAUGCGUGGAUAUCGAGAAGGACGCUCGUAGCGAAGGCGAGGCUCUGGGCAAGUUCUGACGCUGAGGCACGAAGGCUAGGGGAGCAAACGGG
RNAcentral lists this ribosomal RNA (253 nucleotides) under uncultured bacterium. RNAcentral describes it as "partial 16S ribosomal RNA". It matches the Rfam family "Bacterial small subunit ribosomal RNA", at positions 524 to 776 of the family's 1533-position model. The record is from RNAcentral.